RNAcentral lists this ribosomal RNA (23 nucleotides) under Brassica nigra (black mustard). The record is from RNAcentral. Lineage: Eukaryota; Viridiplantae; Streptophyta; Magnoliopsida; Brassicales; Brassicaceae.
GGGAAAUCCUNGAUUUUGCCCCC